AGCUCAGUACCUCAGUGGUGAGAGGAGUGCGCUCAUAACGCAACGGUCGAAGGUUCGAUUCCUUCCUGAGCUACCA
Molecule: transfer RNA, 76 nt
Filed under: Aquisphaera giovannonii
Lineage: Bacteria; Pseudomonadati; Planctomycetota; Planctomycetia; Isosphaerales; Isosphaeraceae
Description: tRNA-Met
Rfam family: tRNA
About the family: Transfer RNA (tRNA) molecules are approximately 80 nucleotides in length. Their secondary structure includes four short double-helical elements and three loops (D, anti-codon, and T loops). Further hydrogen bonds mediate the characteristic L-shaped molecular structure. tRNAs have two regions of fundamental functional importance: the anti-codon, which is responsible for specific mRNA codon recognition, and the 3' end, to which the tRNAs corresponding amino acid is attached (by aminoacyl-tRNA synthetases). tRNAs cope with the degeneracy of the genetic code in two manners: having more than one tRNA (with a specific anti-codon) for a particular amino acid; and 'wobble' base-pairing, i.e. permitting non-standard base-pairing at the 3rd anti-codon position.
Source: RNAcentral